This 27-nucleotide non-coding RNA is filed under the name Mus musculus (house mouse). The record is from RNAcentral. Lineage: Eukaryota; Metazoa; Chordata; Mammalia; Rodentia; Muridae.
UAAUAACUAUCACUGCUCUCUGUCUCC